Long non-coding RNA from Tachysurus fulvidraco (yellow catfish), 1941 nucleotides. RefSeq lists it as uncharacterized. Lineage: Eukaryota; Metazoa; Chordata; Actinopteri; Siluriformes; Bagridae. The transcript is spliced from 5 exons. The record is from RefSeq and is a predicted model, not a curated record.
ACACAGCUGACAUCCACAACAACAACAACAACAACAACAAACACAGCUGACAUCCACAACAACAACAACAACAACAACAAACACAGCUGACAUCCACAUAACAUCCCUUCGUGUGUUUACAAAUGAUGUGAAUUGUGCAGAAUUUACAUAACACUCCAUACUACUGUAUUCUACUCCACCUGUAAACACCACCAUCACACUGAUACACAUUGGGCUUUAACACAACACCUGGACAACAACUGGGACUACACCUGGGACUACAGCUGGACAACUGCUGGACAACUGCUGGGACUACACCUGGGACAACAGCUGGACAACUGCUGGGACUACAGCUGGGACAACAGCUGGGACAACAGCUGGGACUACACCUGGGACUACACCUGAGACUACACCUGGGACUACACCUGGGACUACAGCUGGGACUACACCUGGGACAACAGCUGGGACUACAGCUGGGACAACAGCUGGGACAACUGCUGGGACUACACCUGGGACUACACCUGGGACUACACCUGAGACUACAGCUGGGACUACAGCUGGGACUACAGCUGGGACUACAGCUGGGACAACAGCUGGGACUACAGCUGGGACAACAGCUGGGACAACAGCUGGACAACUGCUGGGACUACACCUGGGACUACACCUGGGACUACACCUGAGACUACAGCUGGGACUACAGCUGGGACUACACCUGGGACUACAGCUGGGACUACACCUGGGACUACAGCUGGGACUACAUCUGGGACUACAGCUGGGACUACACCUGGGACUACAGCUGGGACUACACCUGGGACUACACCUGGGACUACAGCUGGGACUACACCUGGGACUACACCUGGGACUACAGCUGCUCAGGUAAACCACUGAUACUAGUGGUGAGGAACACGGUGGUCCAGUCAUGAUCUCUCUAGUGGUGAGGAACAUCUUGGUCCAGCAGGUCAUGAUCUCUCUAGUGGUGAGGAACAUCUUGGUCCAUCAGGUCAUGAUCUCUCUAGUGGUGAGGAACAUCUUGGUCCAUCAGGUCAUGAUCUCUCUAGUGGUGAGGAACAUCUUGGUCCAUCAGGUCAUGAUCUCUCUAGUGGUGAGGAACAUCUUGGUCCAUCAGGUCAUGAUCUCUCUAGUGGUGAGGAACAUCUUGGUCCAUCAGGUCAUGAUCUCUCUAGUGGUGAGGAACAUCUUGGUCCAUCAGGUCAUGAUCUCUCUAGUGGUGAGGAGUGUCAUGUAAUUUGUUGUGACAGACAGAGACAGACAGAGAGACUUCCUUCCUGUCUGCACCAUUAAUUACCUUCAAAUCCUUUAACUCUGAGCAGGUCGACUGUAGGAAGUUUUGGCUUCAUGUAUAAACAUUUGGAACAUUUCACCCCCUCCACAGAUUUAGAAAAGUUUGUGUCUUCUGUGUUUUGGGUCCAGGUUGUUGUGACUGCUCCAGACAGCCAGCUGCUCGCCUCCAUCCUGAUGAGACCGAUGACUGUAGUGUUGUCUACAAAUAUCAGGAGCUGGACAGAGGGAUGUUUAAAGUUGUGGUCAUUUGUGAAGAGAGACAAAAGCAGUGGGGAGAGGACACAGCCCUGAGGAGCUCCAGAGCUGAUGGUGUGGCUGUUGGAUGGGAGUUUUUCCAGCCUCACUCACUGCUGCCUGUCUGUCAGGAAUCUACUGACAGAUGGAGCUAUCGUUCCAUCUUCAGCUAAAUGAGCUCCUGGAUGUGAUCCAGUCCGGACACAAGACGGCUUUGUGCUGAACUCCGUUCUCUCCUCACAGUCCCUGAAUCUCCACACAGAGUCUGAGAGACCCCCACGACUCCGUCCUCGUCCUUCUCGCCCUGUUAUCAUCACCAAAUUUUCAACAGAAUGAACUGGAACACAGAGCAGCUUCUGGGUUCAUCACAUUACUCCAGGAGCUCCUCAGGUUCAGAUCAUCUGUCACACAUUAUCUUAAAGUAAA